Arvicola amphibius (Eurasian water vole) is the source of this 1180-nucleotide long non-coding RNA. RefSeq lists it as uncharacterized. The transcript is spliced from 2 exons. NCBI's taxonomy places the organism in Eukaryota, Metazoa, Chordata, Mammalia, Rodentia, Cricetidae. The record is from RefSeq and is a predicted model, not a curated record.
UCACCUGAGUCGCCAGAGCUCCAGGCUCGACUUCGUUCUGGCCUAUCAACUUCGGCUGCUUUCCACCAGCAGCCAUUAACUUGAUGGGCAUACGCAAUGCUUGAAAGGGCAACGAGGUCCCUGGCACUCGUCUGGGAGACACAGUUACCCGCAGCGUCCCUCCUCGUCUAACGUCUCCAGCUUUCGCAGGCCCGAGUCCCGGGCCCGGCUGGCGGGGCCCCGUCCUCACCUUCGAGGUGUUGCACAGGAACCUCGUCUCGUACUCCUCGUUCAUGGUGAUCACCCCGCGCACGUCCUCGUCCACUACCAGCUGCCGAAGCAAAGAGGGGGCUCAGCGAGGGCCCCGGGCGCCCGCCGACCCCGGGGCCCGCUCCCUGCCCGGCCCGGCGGCCUCCCUCACCCGGUGCGUCAUGCUCCGCAGCGGCAGCGCGCCCAGCAGCACCGUGCGGUCGAUGCGGUGGUACCAGUCGCGGUGGGCCGGGCCGCUCACCCUCCCGCGGAACACCGUGUAGAGCAGCGUCGGGUAGAAGAGCACCCGGGCCAGGCCGGCCUCCAGCCACGCGGACGCCGCCAUCCCGCCCCACCCCGCCAGGCGCAGCGGCGAGGCGCCCGCCCCCGGGCUCGCGGCCAGCCACCGCGAGGACUCGGAGGACGAGAACUGCGGGCUGCCCGGCUCCUCCCGACCCUCGGAAGCGGGGUCCCGGCCAGGCCACCGGGCUCCCGGGACAGGCACCAUGGCUCCGGAGCGGCGCCGCAGGGGUGGGGCGGGGACUGUGACCCUGCCUAGGGCGGAGGGCCCUCUCUGCCACCCCGACCUGGGGCGAGGGGCGAGGCGCGAGGCGGCGCGACCCCGGGUGCACCCGACAUCAAGGAGGAGGAUGGGCAGAGAGGCCUCUCUAAGCCACCGGGGGCCCUGGAAGAACCCGCUCUGGGGACCCCUGGAACUGGAAUCACAGACAGUUGUGAGCCGCUCUGUGGGUGCUGGGAAUUGAACCCCCGGUCCUCUGGAAGAGCAGCCUGUGCUCUUAACUGCUGAGCCAUCUCUCCAACCUCGACUCUCCUUCUUAACAUUAAUUUCCACCCCCUAAUCCCCCACCCAAUCUGACCAAACCAGAGUAUAUGUAGUAUGAAAAAUAUGUAUUAAAUAUUAAGAAAAAUAAAUUUCUUCAUAUCCCUCUUG